GUUGUCGGUGGCUAUAAAUGGCGGAUUUUAAUUUUUCCCAAGGGGAACAAUGUUGAUUACCUGUCCAUGUAUCUGGAUGUUGCUGAUUCAGCUAAUUUACCUUACGGGUGGAGUAGAUAUGCCCAGUUCAACUUGUCAAUUGUUAACCAAAUUCAUAACAAGUACUCCAUCAGAAAAGAGACGCAACACCAAUUCAAUGCCAGAGAAAGUGAUUGGGG
This 218-nucleotide unclassified non-coding RNA is filed under the name Hevea brasiliensis (rubber tree). The record is from RNAcentral. Lineage: Eukaryota; Viridiplantae; Streptophyta; Magnoliopsida; Malpighiales; Euphorbiaceae.